This 436-nucleotide ribosomal RNA is filed under the name uncultured bacterium. RNAcentral describes it as "partial 16S ribosomal RNA". It matches the Rfam family "Bacterial small subunit ribosomal RNA", at positions 29 to 507 of the family's 1533-position model. The record is from RNAcentral.
AACGAACGCUGGCGGCAUGCCUAACACAUGCCAGUCGAACGAGAUCCUUCGGGGUCUAGUGGCGCACGGGUGCGUAACGCGUGGGAAUCUGCCCUUAGGUUCGGAAUAACAGUUAGAAAUGACUGCUAAUACCGGAUGAUGACGUUAAGUCCAAAGAUUUAUCGCCUGAGGAUGAGCCCGCGUAGGAUUAGCUAGUUGGUGUGGUAAAGGCGCACCAAGGCGACGAUCCUUAGCUGGUCUGAGAGGAUGAUCAGCCACACUGGGACUGAGACACGGCCCAGACUCCUACGGGAGGCAGCAGUGGGGAAUAUUGGACAAUGGGCGCAAGCCUGAUCCAGCAAUGCCGCGUGAGUGAUGAAUGCCUUAGGGUUGUAAAGCUCUUUUACCCGAGAUGAUAAUGACAGUAUCGGGAGAAUAAGCCCCGGCUAACUCCGUG